UGGGGAAUAUUGGACAAUGGGGGAAACCCUGAUCCAGCCAUGCCGCGUGAAUGAUGAAGGCCUUAGGGUUGUAAAGUUCUUUUGCCAGGGAAGAUGAUGACGGUACCUGGAGAAUAAGCACCGGCUAACUUCGUGCCAGCAGCCGCGGUAAUACGAAGGGUGCUAGCGUUGUUCGGAAUCACUGGGCGUAAAGCGCGCGUAGGCGGCUUUCAAAGUCAGGGGUGAAAUCCCACAGCUCAACUGUGGAAUUGCCUUUGAAACUGGAGGGCUAGAGUGUCGGAGGGGAUAGCGGAAUUGCUAAUGUAGAGGUGAAAUUCGUAGAUAUUAGCAGGAACACCGGUGGCGAAGGCGGCUAUCUGGACGACAACUGACGCUGAGGCGCGAAAGUGUGGGGAUCAAACAG
Molecule: ribosomal RNA, 403 nt
Filed under: uncultured bacterium
Lineage: Bacteria
Description: bacterial SSU rRNA
Rfam family: Bacterial small subunit ribosomal RNA
Source: RNAcentral